AAAUCAUAUACAUACAUGAAAUUAUGAGUACUAAUCCAAAACUUCCACAAGUAUUCUAAUAAAUCCAAUAAAUAUAUCAUUUCACAACUUUGUUUUCUACUAAUUUUUCUUCCUUCUUCGAAAAAAUAAAACUAUAUACGACCAAAUAUGCUUUUUUUUUCUCCAAAACAAAAAAAAAUAGCUAAUGUGAAAGCAAAUGAAAAAAACCCAAAAAUACUAAUAUUUCAAUUCCUACAAAUCAUCGGCACGUGCCAAGUCAUCGACUUCAGUCUCAUUCGCACGUGCGAACAACAAUGCGAGGCCCACUCAAAACGGCUUUUGCAGAUACAUGAAUAUAUCUUGUAGCGGUGACAUCUCAUAACAACUCUGCAACUCAGAAGCAGUGGCAUCUGUGUAAUUAAAUGGAAAAUCAAGGGCAGUUUUUUCCCACUCACUCGGUUUCGGCUUCGGCUCACUCUGAACUUCCUUCUCAUAUGUGAACUCCGGCGAAGGUACGUGCUCCGAGCAGCUGGAAUCGGCGUGAAGUUUCGUAAGAGAAUCUGGUGAAUUAAAGUACGUGAAGUCAUUGUAAACGUGAUAAGACGUCGAAGAUGGGUUUGUUGAAACUGAAAUCGGCACGAUCUCAGGCUUUACAUCACCUUCACUCACCGCCGGCGACAUUUCACCGUUCAUUUUUCGGAUAUUCAGUUGAUUCUUCUCAAUUGUACCUUUCUUAUUGUAGAUUCGACAUAAAACCCAAUCAUCGAGUCUUAGGCUGUUGUUUUUGUUACGAGCAGAUCGAUCAACAUGAGCAAGUCGAUAUUCGUGCAUAAUCCAAUUUGUUUUUUCUCCCUUCGGAGCUUUUCCUGCGUAAAACACCAAAGCUUUCUUAAUUCCCAUCGACUUUGGACGACCAAUCGGCUUAUCCGCACCCGUCGCCUUCCAGUAUCCACUCCCCGCAGCUCGGUUCGGCCGUGAACCGUUCGGAUACUUCCGAUCUCUCGGCGAAAAGAAAUACCACUCUUUCUCACCAUACAAAGCCAAAUCAGGUAGAUCCCAUGGAUUGUACUUGUAGAGAUCAAUUUCAGCUAUAAUCGGAACAGCAAUUGGCUGUGCGUCGCAUUUUCGACAUAAAUAAUGCAUCACAAGCUCUUCAUCAGUUGGAUGGAA
RNAcentral lists this unclassified non-coding RNA (1149 nucleotides) under Hevea brasiliensis (rubber tree). The record is from RNAcentral. Lineage: Eukaryota; Viridiplantae; Streptophyta; Magnoliopsida; Malpighiales; Euphorbiaceae.